ACGACCACCCAGGGCCGGAAAGUUGGUCAAACUCGGUCAUUUAGAGGAAGUAAAAGUCGUAACAAGGUCUCCGUAGGUGAACCUGCGGAGGGAUCAUU
Molecule: ribosomal RNA, 98 nt
Filed under: Zasmidium grevilleae
Lineage: Eukaryota; Fungi; Ascomycota; Dothideomycetes; Mycosphaerellales; Mycosphaerellaceae
Description: partial 18S ribosomal RNA
Rfam family: Eukaryotic small subunit ribosomal RNA
Source: RNAcentral